AAGCAAGCAGCUCCAGCUUCUCCAGGCUGCUGUCUGGCCGUUAGAGCCAGCCAGUCACCUAGCUGCUUUUAUACUGCAUACCUGUGUCUGAGUACUCAUUUCAUCCAUUGGCCAAGGCCUGUGGGACAGACCUGGCAAGAGCCCAGCCAAGAUGAACCAACUUGCCUACACAACCACCCCCACACUUGGGCUGAGAUAUCCGGCUGAUCCGAACUCCAACAUGAAGCAUCCUUUCUGCUUUAGAUUGACCCCCAAAGAGUGAAGGCACUACUUCUUCCUGCUGCCAUGUGAAGAAAGACCUGUUUGCUUCCCCUUUCAUCAUGAUUGUAAGUUUCCUGAGGCC
This 343-nucleotide long non-coding RNA is filed under the name Homo sapiens (human). Its description in RNAcentral is "HSALNT0218743". Lineage: Eukaryota; Metazoa; Chordata; Mammalia; Primates; Hominidae. The record is from RNAcentral.